UACCAUAUACUAGUUUGGUACUACUACCGUAUGGUAUUGUUGGUACGCAUUGCUGCUGACCGCUAUGGCAUACCAUGUACCAAAUGUUGCAUCCAUGCUAGUCAUGGAAUGGCAUGGAACUGUGGGGCACCAUACUACAUUAUGUCAUGACGUACCAUGGCAGUCACAUGCUAAGACACAUCUGUGAAAAUGGGUCUAUGCCAAUCCAUCUUGGUCUUUACCAAGUGUGCUGACAAAAAAUUUUUAAACAACUAUAAUCAAAAAACUAUAAAAUAUAAAGAAAACUGAGAAAAUAAUCAUUACACAAAAAGUGAAAUACAAAAUAUCAAAUACGCAGUAUGUUAAUAGGAAGUACCAACUUAACAACUUUCAAUACUAAUUCACUAAUAGAUCUGUUUCUCCAUACUCAAACAUUGUGAAGAUCCUUAAGGUGGGGGCUUAGGUGGCCUCUAGGCGGUUGUCUUGGAUAU
RNAcentral lists this long non-coding RNA (470 nucleotides) under Phoenix dactylifera (date palm). RNAcentral's name for it is "long non-coding RNA (PDAC_LNC019214)". The record is from RNAcentral. Lineage: Eukaryota; Viridiplantae; Streptophyta; Magnoliopsida; Arecales; Arecaceae.